RNAcentral lists this ribosomal RNA (484 nucleotides) under uncultured bacterium. RNAcentral describes it as "partial 16S ribosomal RNA". It matches the Rfam family "Bacterial small subunit ribosomal RNA", at positions 30 to 507 of the family's 1533-position model. The record is from RNAcentral.
AUUGAACGCUGGCGGCAGGCCUAACACAUGCAAGUCGAGCGGAUGAAGGGAGCUUGCUCCUGGAUUCAGCGGCGGACGGGUGAGUAAUGCCUAGGAAUCUGCCUGGUAGUGGGGGAUAACGUCCGGAAACGGGCGCUAAUACCGCAUACGUCCUGAGGGAGAAAGUGGGGGAUCUUCGGACCUCACGCUAUCAGAUGAGCCUAGGUCGGAUUAGCUAGUUGGUGGGGUAAAGGCCUACCAAGGCGACGAUCCGUAACUGGUCUGAGAGGAUGAUCAGUCACACUGGAACUGAGACACGGUCCAGGCUCCUACGGGAGGCAGCAGUGGGGAAUAUUGGACAAUGGGCGAAAGCCUGAUCCAGCCAUGCCGCGUGUGUGAAGAAGGUCUUCGGAUUGUAAAGCACUUUAAGUUGGGAGGAAGGGCAGUAAGUUAAUACCUUGCUGUUUUGACGUUACCAACAGAGUAAGCACCGGCUAACUUCGUG